AACGAACGCUGGCGGCAUGCCUAACACAUGCAAGUCGAACGAGACCUUCGGGUCUAGUGGCGCACUGGUGCGUAACGCGUGGGAACCUGCCCUUAGGUUCGGAAUAACUCCCCGCAAGGGGUGCUAAUACCGGAUGAUGGCUUCGGACCAAAGAUUUAUCGCCUUUGGAUGGGCCCGCGUUGGAUUAGCUAGUUGGUAGGGUAAAAGCCUACCAAGGCGACGAUCCAUAGCUGGUCUGAGAGGAUGAUCAGCCACACUGGGACUGAGACACGGCCCAGACUCCUACGGGAGGCAGCAGUGGGGAAUAUUGGACAAUGGGCGAAAGCCUGAUCCAGCAAUGCCGCGUGAGUGAUGAAGGCCUUAGGGUUGUAAAGCUCUUUUACCCGGGAUGAUAAUGACAGUACCGGGAGAAUAAGCGCCGGCUAACUCCGUG
RNAcentral lists this ribosomal RNA (433 nucleotides) under uncultured bacterium. RNAcentral describes it as "partial 16S ribosomal RNA". It matches the Rfam family "Bacterial small subunit ribosomal RNA", at positions 29 to 507 of the family's 1533-position model. The record is from RNAcentral.